Molecule: ribosomal RNA, 459 nt
Filed under: uncultured bacterium
Lineage: Bacteria
Description: partial 16S ribosomal RNA
Rfam family: Bacterial small subunit ribosomal RNA
Source: RNAcentral
CCUACGGGUGGCAGCAGUGAGGAAUAUUGGUCAAUGGGCGCAAGCCUGAACCAGCCAAGUCGCGUGAGGGAUGACGGUCCUAUGGAUUGUAAACCUCUUUUGUCGGGGAGCAAGGCCCGCCACGUGUGGCGGGAAGGAGAGUACCCGAAGAAAAAGCAUCGGGUACUCCGUGCCAGCAGCCGCGGUAAUACGGAGGGUGCGUGCGGUAGCCGGAUUUAUUGGGUUUAAAGGGUGGGUAGGCGGAGGUUAAAGUCAGCGGUCAAAAUGCGGGGCUCAACCCCGUACAGCCGUUGAAACUGCAUCCCUUGAGAGCGCGAGAAGUAUGCGGAAUGCGUGGGGUAGCGGUGAAAGGCAUAGAUAUCACGCAGAACUCCGAUUGCGAAGGCAGCAUACCGGCGCGCAACUGACGCUCAUGCACGAAAGCGUGGGUAUCGAACAGGAUUAGAUACCCUGGUAGUC